AGCAGCCGCGGUAAUUCCAGCUCCAAUAGCGUAUAUUAAAGUUGUUGCAGUUAAAAAGCUCGUAGUUGAACUUCGGGGUUCACCCAUUGGUCAGGCUUAAUUGUCUGUACUGGUGAGAUGAGUCUCUACCUUCUGAGGAACUUUCAUGCCAUUUAUUUGGUGUGGUUGGAAAUCAGGACUGUUACUUUGAAAAAAUUAGAGUGUUUAAAGCAGGCUAACGUCUGAAUACAUUAGCAUGGAAUAAUGAAAUAGGACGGAUUGAUUCUAUUUCGUUGGUUUCUAGGGUCACCGUAAUGAUUAAUAGGGAUAGUUGGGGGCAUUAGUAUUCAAUUGUCAGAGGUGAAAUUCUUGGAUUUAUUGAAGACUAACUACUGCGAAAGCAUUUGCCAAGGAUGUUUUCAUUAAUCAAGAACGAAAGUUAGGGGAUCGAAGACGAUCAGAUACCGUCGUAGUCUUAACCAUAAACUAUGCCGACUAGGGAUCGGACGCAGUUAAUUUUAUAAUGACGUG
Molecule: ribosomal RNA, 510 nt
Filed under: Glomus sp. Glo12
Lineage: Eukaryota; Fungi; Glomeromycota; Glomeromycetes; Glomerales; Glomeraceae
Description: SSU rRNA
Rfam family: Eukaryotic small subunit ribosomal RNA
Source: RNAcentral